GACGAACGCUGGCGGCGUGCUUAACACAUGCAAGUCGAACGGAAAGGCCCUGCUUUUGUGGGGUGCUCGAGUGGCGAACGGGUGAGUAACACGUGAGUAACCUGCCCUUGACUUUGGGAUAACUUCAGGAAACUGGGGCUAAUACCGGAUAGGAGCUCCUGCUGCAUGGUGGGGGUUGGAAAGUUUCGGCGGUUGGGGAUGGACUCGCGGCUUAUCAGCUUGUUGGUGGGGUAGUGGCUUACCAAGGCUUUGACGGGUAGCCGGCCUGAGAGGGUGACCGGCCACAUUGGGACUGAGAUACGGCCCAGACUCCUACGGUAGGCAGCAGUGGGGAAGAUUGCACAAUGGGCGGAAGCCUGAUGCAGCAACGCCGCGUGCGGUAUGACGGCCUUCGGGUUGUAUACCGCUUUCGCCUGUGACGAAGCGUGAGUGACGGUAAUGGGUAAAGAAGCACCGGCUAACUACGUG
This 468-nucleotide ribosomal RNA is filed under the name uncultured bacterium. RNAcentral's name for it is "partial 16S ribosomal RNA". It matches the Rfam family "Bacterial small subunit ribosomal RNA", at positions 28 to 507 of the family's 1533-position model. The record is from RNAcentral.